GGCAUGGUAGCUGAGUGGGUACUUAUAGCUAUUUGCUUGGUACCGAAUAUCGAUGGUUCAAAUCCAUCUCGGAGCAA
Rhamnusium bicolor is the source of this 77-nucleotide non-coding RNA. The record is from the annotation of a GenBank genome assembly. Lineage: Eukaryota; Metazoa; Arthropoda; Insecta; Coleoptera; Cerambycidae.